RNAcentral lists this ribosomal RNA (450 nucleotides) under uncultured bacterium. RNAcentral's name for it is "partial 16S ribosomal RNA". It matches the Rfam family "Bacterial small subunit ribosomal RNA", at positions 354 to 796 of the family's 1533-position model. The record is from RNAcentral.
GUGGGGAAUAUUGGACAAUGGGCGAAAGCCUGAUCCAGCCAUGCCGCGUGUGUGAAGAAGGUCUUCGGAUUGUAAAGCACUUUAAGUUGGGAGGAAGGGCAGUAAGUUAAUACCUUGCUGUUUUGACGUUACCAACAGAAUAAGCACCGGCUAACUUCGUGCCAGCAGCCGCGGUAAUACGAAGGGUGCAAGCGUUAAUCGGAAUUACUGGGCGUAAAGCGCGCGUAGGUGGUUCAGCAAGUUGAAGGUGAAAUCCCCGGGCUCAACCUGGGAACUGCCUCCAAAACUACUGAGCUAGAGUACGGUAGAGGGUAGUGGAAUUUCCUGUGUAGCGGUGAAAUGCGUAGAUAUAGGAAGGAACACCAGUGGCGAAGGCGACUACCUGGACUGAUACUGACACUGAGGUGCGAAAGCAUGGGGAGCAAACAGGAUUAGAAACCCCUGUAGUCC